Molecule: long non-coding RNA, 18540 nt
Filed under: Lynx pardinus (Iberian lynx)
Lineage: Eukaryota; Metazoa; Chordata; Mammalia; Carnivora; Felidae
Rfam family: tRNA (bases 4025-4109)
Source: RNAcentral
CCCUGCGUCCCUCCCUGAAGCAUUCAGGAUGCCGGACCAGUUGGUUACGUCCCCCACCUUAAAGCCUGCCCCAAGCACCUGUUGGACACCAGCCUGGACUACAACCCUGAGUGAUGCCCUGCUUCCUGCCUCUCCCUCUCUGAUGUCCUGUCCCCACAGGCCUUAGCCAGUCUGAGGCACAUCCUAUCCCGCCUCCCAUCCGGACCUCUCCUGCUGCAGCCGUAUCUCCUCCAGAAGGUCUCCGUGCUCCAUCAGCAGCCUCUGGGCCGAGGCCACGUCCACCGCCUUCUCCUCGCUGUGCAGCCGAGCCCAGACGCCCUCCGCCCACAGCAGCAGUUGCUGGCUGUCCUGUAGGAAGCUCUGCCGUGUCCGUGCCUCGGCCUGGGCCCUGGCCUGUUGGGCCACGUGCUGCUGUACCUGCUCCAGCAGCCCCUGCAGCGUCUCCACCUGUCCUCUCAGGCACUGAUUCUCUGUGGGGCCCGCCUCUUCAGCUCUGGGAGAUGGGGCCCACGGCCCAGUCAGUGCCCUGCCCUGGUGUCCGGGCUCGGAGUCCCCAGGCAAAGUGGUGUUGACUGUGCACUCCUGCCUCCCCCUCACCGUGGGACAGCAAGCCUGUGUGGCCUGCUCUUUCCCCAUGAGCAUUUUCUCACGCCGUGUCCCCACCUGUGCCCCUGCCCUUCAGACAGCACAUCCAGCCUGUGCUCCAAUUUCUGUCCCAUUCCUCAUGCCACAACCCUGCUCAGUCCUCCCCUGCCUCCCAGGGCCCAAACCCAGGCCGUACUUGAUGGUGAUCCUCUGCAAGUGGUACACGCUUCUCUCCAGUGCCGGCAUCUUCUGCUGGGCCAGCUGCAGGACGCGGUGGCUGUCCUCUGACUGCCCCAGCUCCAGGGUUUCCAGCCGGAGUAUCAGGUCUCGCAGUUGGACCUGUGUGGAUCUGCACUUGUGCAGAAAACUGCACACGUCCGUGGUGCGUGCCAGCUGCAUUUCCUUCUCUUUCUUCAGGGCUUCCAGCUGCCCCCACCUGAGCACAGCGAACAGGGAUGUCUCUGUCACAGGGACAUCUCCACAGCCAUACUGGGGCCACGGCUGGGGAUUCACACAAUAGCUGCUGCCGGGCUGCCUGUCCCUAUGCCCUCUCCUGUCUCUGACAUGUCCGGUGUUUCCUCCUGGCAUCUCCAGAGGCACAUCAGCAGGCGUGCAGGCCCGGGCAAAGCAUCCAGCCUGUCCCCACUGCUCUGUGCUCCCUCCGUCUUACCUCUGGCUCAGUUCCUCCUGCUGUUGCUGAAUUCUGGGGGCAUCUUCAGGACAUCUCUGCUUCAGCUGCUCAGCAGAGCUGCUGACCUCAGUCAAGCAGCCCCUUCCCACAGCCAGGGCAGUGAGGAAGUUCUGGGGAAAGGAAGACCCAGGCCCUGAGUGAGUUUCUUCUCUUCCCACACUGCACUCAAGACUACAAAUGACCCAAUAUGCUCUGCUGUGCAGGUGUCUGAGCAGUAACCCUCUGGAAGGACUGGGGUCUCUGUCCUUAAAGGGCUGGGAGGGCCCUUUAAAAAUUCAAGGCUAGGGGCGCCUGGGUGGCGCAGUCGGUUAAGCGUCCGACUUCAGCCAGGUCACGAUCUCGCGGUCCGUGAGUUCGAGCCCCGCGUCGGGCUCUGGGCUGAUGGCUCAGAGCCUGGAGCCUGUUUCUGAUUCUGUGUCUCCCUCUCUCUCUGCCCCUCCCCCGUUCAUGCUCUGUCUCUCUCUGUCCCAAAAAUAAAUAAACGUUGAAAAAAAAAAUUAAAAAAAAAAAUUCAAGGCUAGGUAUCCAAAUUAUAAAGCAAGAAGUAAAACUGUUAUUAUUUGCAGAUGACGUGGUAUUAUAUAUAGAAAACCCUAAAGAUUCCACCAACGAAGUGUUAGAAUAAAUGAAUUCAGUAAAGUUUCAAGGUACAAAAUCAAUAUAAAGGAAUAUUUUGCAUUUCUAUACACUAAUAAUGAAUCAUCAGAAAGAGAAAUUAAGAAAACAAUCUCAUUUACAAUUGCAUUAAAAAAAAAAAAAACAACCUAAGAAUAAAUAACUGAAGAGAUAAAAGACCUGUACACUGAAUACAUCGAUCAAAGAAGUUGGGAAACCCCCCCCCUCCACAAAUGGAAAUAUAUUCUGUGCACAUGGAUUAGAAGAAUUAACAUUGUUAAAAUGUCUAAACCACUCAAAGCAAUCUAUACAUUUACUAUAAUCCUGAUAAAAAUUCCAAUAGCACUUUUCACAGAUAUAGAACAAUCCUAAAAUUUGUACGGAAAUGCAAAAUCCUAAAAUUUGUGUGCAAUAGCCAAAACAAUCUUGAGAAAAAAAAAGUCUUUCUCAAGACAUCAGUUAAGGCAUCACGCUCCCUGAUUUCAAACUGUAUAGUUUACUAUAGUAAACUGUAGUAAUUAUUUAUAAUGAUCAAAAUAAUGUGGUAUUGACAUAAAAACAGACACAUAGAUCAGUGGAACAGAAUAGAGAGUACAGAAAUAAACCCGUGCACAUACAGUUGAUUAAUUUAUGACAAAGGAGCCAAGAAUGGGGAAGAGAUAGUCUCUUCAAUAAAUGGUGUUGGGAAAACUGGACAGCCAUGUGCAAAAUAUGAAACUGGAUCCCUACCUUACACCGUACACAACAAUAAAUGCAACACCCAAAACAAAUAAUCUGCUUGCAAAACAGGCAGAGGACCUGAAUAGACAUUUCUCCAAAGAUGACAUACAGGUGGCCAACAGACACAGGAAAAGAUGCUCAGCAUCACCCCUUAUCAGGGAAACAGAUCAAAAUGACAACAAGAUGUCACCUCACACCAGUCAGGAUGGCUGUUUUCAAAUUUUUUUUUUUUCAACAUUUAUUUAUUUUUGGGACAGAGAGAGGCAGAGCAUGAACGGGGGAGGGGCAGAGAGAGAGGGCGACACAGAAUCGGAAACAGGCUCCAGGCUCUGAGCCAUCAGCCCAGAGCCCGACGCGGGGCUCGAACUCACGGACCGCGAGAUCGUGACCUGGCUGAAGUCGGACGCUUAACGGACUGCGCCACCCAGGCGCCCCAGGAUGGCUGUUUUCAAAAAGACUAUAAAUAGGUGCACCUGGGUGGCUCAGCUGGUUAAGCAUCUAGCUUCGGUUCAGGUAUGAUCUCAUGGUUCUUAAGUUUGAGCCCCACGUUGGGGUCUCUGCUGUCAGUGUGGAGCCUGCUUCAGAACUUCUCUCUUUCUCUCUGUCCCUCCCCAGCUUGUGCAUACUCUCUCUCAAAAAUAAAUAAAAAAUAAAAAAAAAAAAGGUUAGAGGGACUCCUGGGUGGCUCAGUUGGUUAACCGUCAGACUUCAGUUCAGGUCAUAAUCCACAGUUUGUGGGCUUGAGCCCUGCAUCGGGCUCUGUGCUGACAGCUCAGAGCCUGGAGCCUGCUUCAGAUUCUGUGUCUCCCUCUCUCUCUACCCCUCCCCGGCUCACACUCUGUCUCUGUCUCUCUCUCAAAAAUAAAUGAACGUUAAACAAAUUUUUCUUAAAUAAAAGAUUAAAAAAUGGCUAGAAAUAAGUGUUGGCAAGCAGGUGGAAAAAAGGAAGCCAUUGUGUUGGUAGGAAUAUAAACUGGUGCAACAACUAUGGAAAAUAAUACAGAGGUUCCUCAAAAAAUGAAAAAUAGAUCCAGCCUAUGAUUCAGCAAUUUCACGCCUGGGUAUUUAAUCCAAAGAAAAUGAAGACACUAAUUUGAAAAGAUAGCUACACCCCCAUAGUCAUAGAGGCAUUAUUUACAAUAGCCAACAUAUGGAAGCAACCUAGCGUCCAGUGAUGGAUGGACAAAGAAAAUGUGGCAAAGGGGUGCCUGGGCGGCUCAGUUGGUUAAGCUUCCAAUUGUUUGGUUCGUGAGAUUGAGCCCCCAGUCUGGCUGUGUGCUGAUAUCAGGGAGCCUGCUUGGGAUUCUUGCUUUCUCCCUCCCUCUCUGCCCCUACCCUGGUUGAGAGCUGGUGGGUGUAUACAUGCUUUCUUUCAAAAUAAAUAAUAAAUCUUAAAAAAAAAAAAAGAGGGGUGCCUGGGUGGCUUAGUUGGUUGAGCGUCUGACUUUGACUCAGGUCAUGAUCUCAUGGUUCGUGAGUUAGAGCCCCACACCAGGCUCACCAGCCCACUUUGGAUCCUCUGUCCUCCUCUCUCUCUGCCCCUCCCCUACUCAUGCUCUCUCUCUCUAAAAAGUGAAUAAACAUUUAUUAAAAAACAAAAUCAAAACCAAAUGCGAUAUACAUAUAUACCACUGUACAAAAGAUGGACCUUGAGGGCAUUAUGCUAAGUAAGUCAGAGAUAGAUAAAUACUGUAUGAUCUUACUUGUAUGUGGGAUCUAAAAAGCGCAAAACAAGAUAGAUACAGAGGACAUAUUGGUGGCUGUCAGAAUUGGAGAGGUGGGUGGUGGGUGAAAUGGGUAAAGGGGGUCAAAAAGUGCCAAUUUCUAGCUAUAAUGUAAGUAAGUCAUGGGGAUGGAAUAUAUAGUUUAGAGACUAUAGUUAAUCCUGUGUUGCAUUCUUUUUUUUUUUUUUAAUUUUUUUUUUUCAACGUUUAUUUAUUUUUGGGACAGAGAGAGACAGAGCAUGAACAGGGGAGGGGCAGAGAGAGAGGGAGACACAGAAUCGGAAACAGGCUCCAGGCUCUGAGCCAUCAGCCCAGAGCCUGACGCGGGGCUCGAACUCACGGACCGCAAGAUCGUGACCUGGCUGAAGCCGGACGCUUAACCGACUGCGCCACCCAGGCGCCCCAACCUGUGUUGCAUUCUUGAAAGUUGCUAAUAGAGUCCAUCUUAAAAGUUCUCAUUACAAGAAGAAAAUUCUGUAACUAUGUGUGGGGAUGGAUGCUAACUAGACUUACCGUGGGGUCCAUUUCACAAUACACACAUACAUACCAUUAUGUUGCAUACCUCCAACUACUAUCAGGUUGUGUAUCAAUUAUACCUCAAUAAAAACAAAAUAGUUCAAGGCCAGAUCCCUUGCUUCUUCUUCCCAGACAGGACUACAGUUAACAUGGAGAAGUGGGACACAGGAGUGAAUAACGGAGAGGCAGGAGCAGGCGGGGAGGGAGAAGGACAGGAAUACGGAAAGGCCGCAGGGCCAAGCAGCCAAGACGCCCACCUUGGCUCCACAGGGGCAGUACCUUAUACUUGAGCCGCGUGGCUUCCAAGUCAUCCGCCUGGGGCUGCAGCAUUUGGAGCAGUGCGGUCUGGUUCUCCAGCCAUGACUGCAGCUCUCCACAUGAGUCAUAGAAGCCAAAUAGGGCCACUGCCUCCUCCAACUGAGCUCUUCGGUGCUGAGGAGAGGCCGGCCCAGAGGUUGGGGCAAGGGCCAGUUUCCCCCUAGGGCACUCAGAGCAGGUCCCCAUACCCUUCCCCCAGGGCGAGAGAAGGCCCCUGCCCCACUGCUGGGCCCUGCGCCCUCUGUUGGAGGUCCAGGGGAAGGAGCUGACAAGAGCUUGAUAUCAGGUCAAGGGCCCUGGUAGAGUGUGCUCUUUUGAUCUAGCCCUUGGCUCUUAGGGACAAGCCACACUUCUGUGGGACCUGGCUCUGCCUAGCCCCACCCUUCUACCCUCCAGGCUCUCCUCCAGCCAUCUGCCACUCCCAGCUUCACUUCCGGGCUCCAGGCACUCUGGUCUUUACUCCUCCAGGGCCUCCUGCCUGCCUGGCGAUAGGUACUGCCUAGGGGAUGGUCUCCCCCAUCUCUCCUGCCCUCCCCCGGCUUUGCCUGCUCUCAACCUCUCCUUGUUCCAGUCACAGCCUAAAUGGCCUCCCCUCAGAGAUGCCCUCCCUGACUCCCAGCCUGACCUGGGCUUCCAUCACACCCAGCGCCAUCUAAUGACCUGUUUCUCCUCUUCUCUGCCUGUGUAAACUCCUUGGGGGCAGCGAGCAUGUCCAGUCAACUGCUCUGUCUCUGGACUCCCGGUUCAGGGUCCAGUGCAGAGUAGGUGUUCCAUGAACAUUUCUUGAACAAGAAGUGUUACUUACCUUUGCCAGGGCCCCCAGUCCCUCGUAGUCCUGGUUCAAGCAAUCCUGUGUCUGGAGUAUGGUGUUAGGGUCAAAGUCAGGGUCAAGUUCAGCGGAGAGGACCAUCUUCUGAGUGCUUGGGGGCCCAGAGUGGCAGGAAACCUCACUCCAGGUCCGGAGGUUCCUCGGGCCUUCCUUUGGAGAGCUCAGGGCAGAUACCACCUGUGCUGACAGGACACAGGGCAGUGUGUCCAGAGGGGACUCCCCUAAACACGAGGCUUGGCAGGGUGGGGCCAAUGGUUGUACCUGGGGUGGUUCCAGGAGGAACCCGAUUAAUGCAUGGAAACUGGUGGGCAACAUGAGCAAAACUAUCCUCGGAUGACUUCUACAAGCAUGCAGACAAGAUUCCACUAAUCGGACUGGGGCAGCCAGUAAGAAGUUGCUGAGGACGGGUGGGGCACCCCCAAGCCGGAAGCUAAGAUUCCCAGGUCAGGGGCCACAAAAGCCCUCCCAUUUCCACCCUCUGUGUGUGGUCACGGGAGACGGGGCAUAGUGCUCAGACCACACGUGCAUUUGAUGCUGGAGGCCUGUAGUUCUGGGUCCCUGCCGUCCACACGUACGGUAAGCGACACUUGGGUUGCGGCCGCCCGCGCCUGCUCGUCCAGUCGCCGUAGCUCCGUCCCGAAGGCGUGCAGGCUACGCUCCAGUCGCUGGUGGCGCAGCAGCAGGGCCUCUGCGGCCGUCUGGUCCCGCCCGCGGGACGCGCUCUCCAGGGCCGACUGCUGCUCCCGCAGCCACGAGGCCGCGUCAGCCGCAUCACUGAAGUACUGCGGGCAGGAGGGCAGGCUGGGCACGGGCCGACCCCACACGCCUGCCCGGCCCCCCGCAUCCACAGCCUAACUACCUCCUGGACGAGCAUAGCCGCCUGCAGCCGAGCGCCCCGCCUGGCUGUGGAGGCCCGGAGCCGCUGCCACGCCCCCUGCAGUGCCUGGGCCCGCUCCCUGGGGUCUGGCAGCGUGGGGUGCCCGCGGGCUCCCAGGUCGCAUCCCCUCCGCACGAGAUCAGUGCACAUGGCCUGGUGGUGGCGGAGCUCGGCUUCCAGGGCCUGGCAGGGUGCAGAGCUGGGUGAAGGAAAGGAAAGGGAAGGGCCAGGUGGGGACUGGGGCAGGGCCCAGGGUCACACGGACCUUGUGUUUCUGCAGGGCUGCUCUGAUCUGGCUAAGGUCCCGGCCCAGGGCUUCAUCCUCCACCAGCUGUUCGUGCUCCCUCAACCAGGUUUCCUCCUCCUCGCAGUUGUGCAGGAACUCUGCCUGCUGCAGGGUCUGCUCCAGCAAGGUGCGCCUGAGGGAUGGCAAGGGGCACCAAAGGGACUGGGGAGGGGGCUCCCCACCAGGCACAGACACUCCCCCUUAGAUAGGAGUUUUCUUUUUCCUGAUAACUCAACAGGGGAACAGAAGACUUAGAGGUGAAGGUCAAUGUGGAGGAAGUUGCCAAGUCAGCAGUAUUUUAACCAGGGCAGGAGGUAAAUUGGGUUCCAGAAAAGUUCUAGAGAAGGUAGGAGAGCUGGGUGAGCUCUUACCGGGCCCUUAGAAGAGACACCAGGCUCCCGUGAAGCUGGGCCAGUGCCUGGGCCUUGGCCUGCAGCACCUCCACAGUAGUACCCAGGGAGGAGUCCAGCUGCGAGGUCUGGAGGCCAAGAUGGCGCACAUGGGCCCCGUGGGCUGAGACCUGGGCCUCCAGCAGGUCAUGCUUCUGCAGCAGCUGCACGGUCUCAGCUAGCUGCUGCCCACAGGCCGUGGAGCUGGCCAGCACCUGGCCAGGGAUGGACAAGUGAUCACUGCUGUCCCAGAGUGCUGGGUCAUCACGAGUGUUGGUGCUGUGUCACCCAGGGGCCUGCUGGUCCAGGGCCCACCUGUAGCUCCUUGAGCUGGUUGGAGGCAGUCUCCACCUCCUGCAGCAGGCUCAGCACAGCUUGCAGACCUGCCAUCUGCUUCUUCUGCCCUUGGAGACGCCGAAGGAGUUGCUCCCAGCGCCCAGUGAUCUCCAGUUGCCUGGAGGAUGUGAAAAUAAGGGGUGGGGUGGGGUCUUCACUGGGCUGGGAUAGGGAAGCCACCUUGGGGCCUACACCUGGUGGGGGUGCUUGGCUGUCAUGGAGGAGCCUGAGCCCAGUGACUGGGGGCUUGGAGCAUUCUAGCCUAUGGCUGUCGGGGCACUGUGUUCCUGCUUCUUAAACACGGGCAGAGAAGCUAGAUGGAGGGUCUGUGUGGCUCAGGGCCCCCCAACCUUUCCAUCUCCAUCUCCAAUGAUAGCAACUCCAUCCUUCUAGGUGCCUGGGCUAAAGGGCUUGAUAACUGAAUUUCUCACACCCCGCAUCUGAUCUGUCUGUAAAUCCUCUUGGAUCCAAAAUAUAUGCAAAAUCCCACCAUUUCUCAUCACCUGCAUUGCUUCUCUGGCCUAGAUUAUUGCAAUAGCUGCAUAAGUGGUCUUUGCUUCUGUCCCUUCAGUCUGUGCCUGACAUGGCAUCCAGAACGAUCGUUGUCGAACAGGAGUCAGAUUGUGCCACUCCUUCAUUCCAGUCCUCCCGUGUUGAAUUCCCCAUCCUUCUGUGAGUAAAUCCCAUCUUUACUGUGUCCUACAGAUCCCAGCAUGAUCUCUACCCCCACCCUUUGCCCCUGUACCUCCUUGACCUCAACCACUACUUGUUCACUUUGACCAACAGUGGCCUCCAUGCUAUUUUCCAAACAUGGCAGGCAUGCGCCUUCCCUAUGCCUGGUAUAGUGUGUCCCCGUAUCUCUACAGCUGGGCCCCUCUUCUGGUCUCUGCUUCUUCCUGGUCUUUGCUCAAAAGUCAGUCUCCUCUGGCCACCUGAUCUAACCCCCACCCCCUAUGUUGGUACCUCAUAAUCCCCUAUCUUGUUACCAUUUUUUUUUUAAUCACUAUUGCACGUACUAUAUAUCUAUUUUAAUUUGUCUGUUUUCCUUAGUAGUGUGUAAGCUCUGUGAGGGGAGGCAUUAUGGUUUCUCCUCCUCACUACUAAAUCUCCAGUGCCUAGAACUGUGCUUGGGACAUAGUAGACAACAAAUACUUGUUCAGUGAAUGAGUUGAUAAGAAUUAUCUAGAAAGGGCAGUGCUUUACUAAAAAUGGGGAAUUGAGGGCGCUGGAACUUCAGGCAUCAGUGGGAGUUAGAUCUUUUAAAGAGAGCCCUGAACCUAUAGAUCAGACCUCUAUGGCCAGGAAUGGGCACAGGUAAACAUAGGGAUAUGACAGGAAGGCCUUAGCCUGUUUUGAGGAUGAUUUCCGCACCCCAGGCUCACCUGCGGGCCACAACUGCCCAGCCAUGGUGCUGCUCCUGCUGAAGGAUGUCUGCGAUCUCGGCCAGGGCCUGGAAGCGCCCCUCCUGGGGCAGGAUGCUGGCCUCCAGCAUGCCCAGUCUCUGGGCAGCUGCGUCCACUGUGGCCAGGCUGGCUGGUGGGGCGGCAGCUGUGGCCUGGUCCAACAUUUGCUCUGUGUCUGUCAGAAAGUUCUCCCUGAGGGCUGCCUUGCGCUGGAAGCGCCGGGCCAGGGUUUCCAGCCGCUCUAGCUGUAGGAUCCUCCGUAGCAGGGCCUGGCUUCUUGAGGCCUCUGCCCGCUCCAGGACUGCCCAGCGCUGGGACAGCUCUGCGGGGCCCAGGCCCUCGUGAGGCAGGAAGAGCCUGCGAUUCUGGGCUCGGAGUGCCGUCUGCAGCCGGAAGAGCAGGGCCUCUGUGGCCCCUCGCUGCUGCAGCCGUGGUGGCUUCUCCUGGGUGCGGAAGAAGGCAAAGGCCACCAGUAGCUGGCGCAUGGCAGGCAGGGAGUCUGGGAAAUCCCGUGCCUCCAGCUGCACCUGCUUCUCCGCAAUCCAGCGCAGCAGGUCGGCCACCAGCUGCUCGUACUGGGUCUGCAGCUCCUCUGUCUCCUGGAGCUGAAGCAGGAUCUGGGGGAGGCACGGGAAGGCCUCGGGCAGCACCUCGGGGCAGGCCCUGGAAUGGAGGUGCUCCCCUUUUGGAUGCUCGGUGACUGCCAAGGUUGCCCAGGUGGGUGGAGGCUCUUUCCCCUAGCUGAGGUUGCACUAAAGUGGGGUCCUCCCAGCCCCCAGACAAUUAGGUUUGCUUGCAUUGCACACUUAGACCCAGGAGUGUGGGGCACCCACCCUGCUUUCCUCCAUCUUAUUUUACCCCAUUUGGCCUCACUUCUGGGGAGUACUAUUCUUUUUCUGAGCCACCUUUCCCUUUCCUGAGGCCCCCACAUCCCUAAAACAGCUCAGAGCCCUUGGCCUGGAUCUUCUCCCCCAUGCCCAACCGAGACACCAACCCUGAGAAAAGCCUCCCCAGGCUUCCAUGCCUGCCGCCGUGCCCAGAGAGUAGGAGAGCCCCGAAAACAUGGACUGCGCCCAGCACAGCUGCUUCUGUGCUUGUCCUUGCAGAGUCUGGCUCUCUGAGCCUUUCAAUCUCAUUAGGGGCUUAACAGCCUACAAGCAGGGAGAGAGGGGAGGGACUGGAGAGGAUGGUGCUCACCUGGCUUUCCCUGUUUGCCAGGCACUAUGCUCACACUCCCAAGCACUCAUAGCAGCCUUCUGUCACCCCAAGCAUUAUGGGCUCCAAUGGACAGAGGACGCACGGUAAAGUUAGGGGACAUGGCCAAGGCCACACAGCUAGGAAGUGGCAGACGCAGUCUUUAAACCUAGGUCUGACUCCAGAGCCCAUGCUCAUCUCUCCUCGAGGCCACCUCUGCUCUUUCACCAACCUUAGCGAGUCUCCUCUGGACAGUCUGCUCGUGGUGCAGGCGGGAGAAGUGGUGGUAGUAGAGGGAGACGUAGGUCAUGAUGGAGCGUUCAUCGGGCUGGAGAGCAGCCACGUCCUCGGGGUCCAGCAGCUGAGCAAUGCCCAGCUCCUGCUCAGCUACGCGGAAAGCCAAGUCGAGGUUGUGUAGUGGGCGCUCGGGACGCAGGGAGCAGUAAUCAAGCAGGUCUGGCCUGGACAGAAAGCAAGCAAAGCUCUUCACCAGAGAAAUUUACUGCUUGGGUUUAAGUGGACUUGUUACAAAGGCAAGCAAGCUCCUAUUGGCCACCCGGGUAUUGGUUUCCCCUGCCGGUAACCUGAGACCCUAAUGAAGGAAUAGGGCACCUGUAGAGAGAGGAGGGCUAAUUUCGCUCAGGGGCCUGGCUUGUGGGUAGGGGGAGAAGCUCAAAAGGGCAGGUACUUGCGAGGGAAAGGACUGAGAAUAGAGUCAGCGAUGACACAGACAUUGGAGAAAGGCAGGGGUCAAGGCAAACCUGGCCAAUUCCAUGAGAUUUCCUAGGAAAGGGCGAGGGCCUUGGCCAUCAGCCAUCUCUACUCUAAGACCCAGGGUUCAGGGCCCAGAGGGAUGUGGGAGAUGAGCAGGUUGAGGACCUAAGCCCAUUCUCGGUAGUUGGCUUGGUGGUGAAGGCCUCCAGGAGGGAGGCUGAAGCCGGCCUCAGGCCAGGUCGGGCUGGGAGGGUGCUGGGUCUGCUCUCCCUCACGUGCACCUGUGUGCAUGGAUAAGGGCACUGAAGCCGAGUCCGUCACUCCAGCUGCGGGAGAAGUCGGUGAUGUUGACAUUGGCAUAGCAGGCCGUCUUCCGCUGGCACCAGACCAACAGAGCUUCCUUGGCAGACAGCAGGGCUGCGCUGGCCCCAAACUCCUCCUGGAAGGGCAGGCAGGAUGGUGGGUCAGCAUGCGACAGCUGAGAAGGCAGCGGAGCCGGCAGGCCGCCGGAGAGGCGGGUCAGGCCUGGUUGUGAUCCUUCUCCCCCCGCCGCCUGGAGGCAGGUGCAGACUGCCCUCUAUUCGGAGCACCUGAUUUUACUUGAUUUCAUUUGUGGUGGGCAGGGACUGGGGCUGAGAGAGAAAGCUUCUUCUUCCAAAGAAGUGUGUUUCUCGGCCCUUCUGAUGGGUGGGGCAUUGUGCUAACUGACCCUGGGUCCCAGGGAACUGAGGCUGGGGUUUGUUAGUCCGGCUCCAGGUCCCCUUGGGCUGCCUUCCAGCCAGGCCCUGGGCCCACGCACAGGGCUCUCCACCACUCGCACGCAGCCCUAGGAAGCCGGCACUAUUUCCACUCUAGGGAUGACAUGAGGAGGUGNNNNNNNNNNNNNNNNNNNNNNNNNNNNNNNNNNNNNNNNNNNNNNNNNNNNNNNNNNNNNNNNNNNNNNNNNNNNNNNNNNNNNNNNNNNNNNNNNNNNNNNNNNNNNNNNNNNNNNNNNNNNNNNNNNNNNNNNNNNNNNNNNNNNNNNNNNNNNNNNNNNNNNNNNNNNNNNNNNNNNNNNNNNNNNNNNNNNNNNNNNNNNNNNNNNNNNNNNNNNNNNNNNNNNNNNNNNNNNNNNNNNUCAGUGGUACUCUCCUCCCCCCACUCCCUCCCUCACACCCCAAAGUUCCUUCCCUUCCCCUCCUCCCCCAACUCGAGCUUCCUUUCAUUUGCUCCACUUCUCCACCAAUUCCUAUUUAUAAACUCAAAAUAUCAAAGCAGGGCAGGCUGCAUCUCCUCUCUUGCCCUUAGGGCCCCGGAGCUUGGGUGGGCAGCAGUGUAGGGCGAAGCGUCCAGGCCUAGAGCAGAUGCCCUAAGCAGCUGGACUAGGCUGGCAGACAUGAACCAGGAGAGGUUCUAGGGAUGGGCAUGGGAGGGAACAGAGUCAGCCUGGUCCAAUUAUGUCUGUUUUUCAGGGAGCAGAGCCUGAGCGGUCAGGGAGCAGGGUGACCGGUCAGGAGAUGAUGCACCUGCUGCCCCCCCAGGGAAAGGGCAGCUGGGGCACCUGGAGCUGGCUUGGGGGACCGAGGAGGAGAGGGUAGCUACGUGAAAGGGCUUGAGGCCAGCUAGAAAUUCAUCCAUCCAUUCAGUCAUCACAUAGGCCCUAGGCUCUGGGGACACAGCCAGGCAAAUCUCCUGUUCUCCCGGGGCUCACAGUCAGAUCAUGGGCUUCAGGGGUCCUCCGGGAUUUGAGCCAGAUCUGUGGCUUCUUUUCAUUUGGAUUUCAUCCUCUAGGUUGGCUUUUCUAACGCAUUGGAAUUGAGUCUUAGGUGGGGUUUUGGAAAUCCCAAUUGGAAAAGUUAUGAAAAUUGAUAAAUAUAAGGACUUUAUGUUUUUACUCUUUCCAAUUCAGUCCUGAGAAAACAAAAGGUAGAACAGAGGAGGAUAGGGGAUGGUGUCUUUGGUCUUCAGGUGACUGGGGAUUUGGAAACUUCUGGGAUUGGGAUGCCCUCCACAUGUUUAAUUUCUCCCAACAGCAUAUUAGAGGUGUAAUGGAAGUUACAGGGUUUCGGUGCCAAGUAGGGAACAACCAGUCAGGAACUGGCACUGUUGUCACCAGGAAAGGCAGGCACUGGCAGUCACCUCAACCCCCUACUUGUGAAUGGCUUGUCCCAGACUGAAGUUUGUGAACCUAGUUGUCACUUCAACAUAUUACAGUCUCUCUGACAUUCUCAAUCCUUUGCCCAUGGUUGAAGAGUGGGUAUUAAUUGUGUGAAUGCCAGGGUCUGCUGUGGGGACCCUAACAGUCAAGUGGAAAAACUCUGUCCCCGGGGACCUGAGGGGAGGCUGGGGCUGGGCUGGGUGGCUGGGUGUUGGGGGCUGGGACGUACCCUGUCCAGGCAGAUUUGGGAAAUCUGGAAACGCAGAAUGAUGACCCAGAUGAGUCCCAGGAUGAGUGUCUGGUCUCCAUCCACGAUGUUCUCUGGCCCAAUGAGGGGUAUUGGCACCUGUGGGCACAGUUGGCUGGGCUCAGCUGUGAAGCCCGUGUGCCAGAGGAGUCUCGGAGUAACCGAAAGUCCAGGGCACCUGUUGCCAGAUGGCAGGGUCCUGGAAUCUAUCCUGCCCCAGGACGUCCCCAAGCGAGAAAUAGGCAGGGCACAGGUGAGGCAGGUGAAGCUUUUCUAAAUGGUUGCAGCUUUGGACUCAAGUCCUCCUGGGAAAGACCCCAGCCUGGUGAACUGGGCUGGACCACUGGGGUGGGGAACUCCCUGUGUGUGGUCUACAGGUAAACACGGGCCAAGAUCGGUGGUUCAGCCAUGGGGGCUGGAAAUGAGGAGUCAUAAAUAGUCAAUAAAUGAACUCAAUAGACCACAGCAGCUGUCUGCCUCCACCUCUUAGGGCAUCUUGGAGUCUCCAGGGGGUGCUUGGGUCCUUGGUUCCCAUUUCAAUCUCAGCCCUCUUCAUUAGUGUUCCAUCUCCUGUUAAAACGGCAGAUUCCCAGGCCCCACCGAUUACUCUCUUGGGCCAGGGCCCAGGAUUCUGCAUUUGGACAAAUACCUCGGGUUCUUCCCACACACUAAAGUUGAAAACCUGCUGCCCCAGGUCUUGCCACAUGGACAGGGAGGAGGAGCAAAUGAGGGGAGAAAGGAACAGAAUAAACAUCAAAGCUGCACGGGACCUGGGCCCCUUCACCUUCUGGAUCCAUCUUCCUCUCCUGGAUCCCAGGGCUCCGAGGACUGUAGGAUUCUUGCAGUUCUUGGGAUUGUUAGCACAGGCCUUGGGGCCUUUGUACUGGCUACCCCUGCUGUCUGAAAAUAUUCCCCCCAGUAACCACAUGGCUAUUUCCCUCUCUUCUUCUAAGUCUUUAUCAAACAGCACUUUUUCAAUGGUACUUUCAAUGGCCACCUUAUUCAAAAUCACAACCCAAGGAUUAAUUCCUCCCACUCAAACACACAUGCUUGGCCCCCUCACCCCGCUUGGGUGGGGAUCUUGGUUUUGUUCCCUGGUGUCUCCCUAGCAGAGCGUCUGGAAUAUAGUGGGUAAUGGAUAAGUAUGCAUUAAAUGGAGAAAGAAGAGGAGAGACUCCCAUAAGACCUGGCGGGAAGCUGGCUUCGGCCAACCACCUGCCUCGUGGCUGAGGCUGCAUCCCUGGGUACUCCCGUGGGUACACUUUGUUGUGUCUGUCUGGUCUCUGAAGAGUCCACCCCAUGCUCAGCCUUCUCCUGGCACACCUGAGCCCUUCUGCGCUCACCUCAGCUUGGGGUUGGAGUUGGAGCAUCUGGUCAGUGGGGUGUUGGAGUCUGCUCAUACCAGCUUGUGAAGGCUGAUCUUCCUGCUUGGUGUUUGGUGAUACCCCGCCGGUAGCUUGGAAUCAGCCGUGGUGGGGGUAUCAAUGCCACAGAAACCGGCAAGUGCUACAAACGAGGGCUUUUAUUCCCUCUGCCUCGAGAGCUGAUUGUUAAACAUUUACCGGCGCCCGGUGACCUGGGUUAAAAUCAGUUGUCUUCCCUGAAACUGCAGACCCCUUGCAGUCGGGUCUGGGCUUUGCUGAUUGUGGUCCCAAAAUCUGCCUGCUGAGAAUUCUCUGAUUCCCUUGUUUCAGUCAAUAGCAUAUUUCAGUCCCGCCCACGGGGAUGAAGGCUGUUUCUGCUCCCACCGGUUUGGGGCCCUCUAAGCUGGGAGUACUGUUCAAGGAAGGGCUUUGCUUUCUGCAUCUCUGUAUCCUAGUUGCUAUUCCCGGAUUCAGGCUCCAGAUCUUCUGCUCUGCCCUGCCCAGCCCAGGAAAGAAGAUCUGGUAGUCCAGCCUGUCCCUGCUGCCCACCCCAGCACCUGGCCCAGAAGCCCUCUCCCCGGUGCCCACCUUGGCCCUGAGGAAAGCCAGAGCUCGGCUGCUGUUCUCCAGGAAGUGUACUCGCAUGCGGCCCCGGCUGGGGGGUGGCAGGGCCUCCCCCGAGAUGAGUUCCAGCAGCCGCAGUAGGUGGGUGCCAUCGGCCAGCUCUGUGUACAGGUUCUGGAUCUUGAUGCCCACCUGGGAGGGGUGGGGAAGAGGCACAGGGUCAGCCCCCCUCACGUGUCUGGCCUAUCCCAGGACCUGGGAGGUACAGCCCAGAGAGUCUUCCUUAAGGAAGGAGCACCGGACUUAUCUGUGUUUUGGGGUCUGCGAGACAUCUCAGCCAGAUGACCUCACAGUGGGCCCCCAGAGGCCACNNNNNNNNNNNNNNNNNNNNNNNNNNNNNNNNNNNNNNNNNNNNNNNNNNNNNNNNNNNCACAGCCAGCUACACUCACCCGGCCGUGCUGGAAGAUGUUGUUGAUCCAGUUGGUGAAAGUCUUCUCCUGCAUCCGCAUGUGCUGUGCCUGGAGCUUGCGGAUGUGGCUCAUCUCAUACGCGGAGUCCAUUGUGGGACAGGGCUGGGAGCACUACCGUGGGGCUCUGUGGCUGGGCCCCCGCNNNNNNNNUGGUCCCCUGCUUCAGGCACCCUGUAGCCCCAAGGAGCUGCUGGGGACUGUGGGGCUGACCGGCCCCGGGGCCUGCAGCCUUAUGGGGACAAGAGGCCACUGGAUAUUGCUCUAAGCUGGAAAUGUUGAGGGGCAUGGAGGUUGGAGGAGGAGCGUGAACUGUCCCCACAUCUGAUGGUGGGGGGGUUGCAACUUGGGGCCCAGCCAGGUAAGGUUCUGGGGUUCCCAGCUGGUGCCCUGCACUUGAGUGCCUCUGACCCCUUUGCCCCACCCCACUUUCCAGAUUCUUGGGACCACAGGAAUGGGCUGCUGCCCCUUGGGAUGAAAAGCGCAGGUAGAAAGGAAACAGGAAACCGCUCACCUUGGUGUUGUCUGUGCCUGGAAGGAGACCCUACUGGACGGAUGGAAAUGGCAGAUAGCAGGGGCUGUGUGGGGAGGGAGAGAACCACAGGAGAGGCCAAGGCUGGAGCUGGGGCCACGCCAUGGCCCUCCUCUUGAGCGAGUGGGGCAGGGGUGACGGCACACAGCCGGCAUUGUCCUCCCACCUGCCAGAGGGCAUGGCCCAGACUGGGAGGGGGUGGCUCAGGAAUGCUCCAGACUGUUGCUCCAGGAUCUCCUCCUUCAUCCUCCUCCCACCUCAGAUGCCCCCAAUGUCAGGUGGGGGUCCUGGCUGUCAAGAUGCAGAGGCCCAUGGGAUGGGCCUCAAGUUGGCUCUGGGUGGGAGUGCCGUGGGGGUGUUACGGUCCAGGUAAAAGGCAUCCAAAUGGCAGAGCCUCUGGUCAGAAGCUUCUGCACCCACAGUCUGGGACUGCCUUUCUGCACCCCUGCAGGGCCUCUUUGUGAGCACCCACAGGGGUGGGAUGGGAGGGAUGCUGGGCCAUAGCCCUCCCAUCCUGUCCAGGGGAAUGCCACCAUAGAUGGAGGAGAGUCCUUGGACUCUGGGCUUGGCUUUCCAAGCCCUGACCUGGCCCAGGGCCGAAUGGUGGGUGCUCCCUCAUGCCCAGGGGCCACUUUCUGAAGUGAGCUCUCCUCUUGGGAAGGAAUAACUUGGAGCUGCAAAGGCUGUGGAAAUAACAGUCUUCCCCAAAGCCAGAGACACAGUGUUCACUCUUUGGAGCUUCACGGUGAGGCCCCCAGCACCUGUGCUUCCACAGAACUGGCUAAGUCUCAUGGCUCAUGGCUCAGGGCACGAGCUGUGGAGGCGGGGGGAGCCUGCAGGCAACUCUCUUUCCUUCCCUGAGCAAUCUUGAACUGCAUGCCAGAGAGUUCUAAUUUGAGUGGCUUCACAGAAUGUCUGGCUAAACUUGGGGUAAUAGUCACUGGUCUGGGGUGGGUGUCUGUAGGUUCAUCCAGCAGCCCAAGAGACUCUGAGAAGAGGCUCAGGCCACUGUCCCUGACAGCCAAGGACAAUGAGAGGAGCAGCAUGGCAGCCUGCCCUUGACAGUUGAGCAGGACAAAGCACCCUGGAACCUCAGGCCCGUGGCUGGGAGUGAGAGACAUGGUGCUCUUGGGNNNNNNNNNNNNNNNNNNNNNNNNNNNNNNNNNNNNNNNNNNNNNNNNNNNNNNNNNNNNNNNNNNNNNNNNNNNNNNNNNNNNNNNNNNNNNNNNNNNNNNNNNNNNNNNNNNNNNNNNNNNNNNNNNNNNNNNNNNNNNNNNNNNNNNNNNNNNNNNNNNNNNNNNNNNNNNNNNNNNNNNNNNNNNNNNNNNNNNNNNNNNNNNNNNNNNNNNNNNNNNNNNNNNNNNNNNNNNNNNNNNNNNNNNNNNNNNNNNNNNNNNNNNNNNNNNNNNNNNNNNNNNNNNNNNNNNNNNNNNNNNNNNNNNNNNNNNNNNNNNNNNNNNNNNNNNNNNNNNNNNNNNNNNNNNNNNNNNNNNNNNNNNNNNNNNNNNNNNNNNNNNNNNNNNNNNNNNNNNNNNNNNNNNNNNNNNNNNNNNNNNNNNNNNNNNNNNNNNNNNNNNNCAUCUGGGCUUCAGCUGCUCUUUCAGCUUAGAACGUCCCUUCUGUUUUCAUUGUCCACAUUCUCCUGUCCUAUCAGCCCCAGUUAAAAUCCUGUUUCUUCUAGCAGGUUCUCUGCCACCUGCCCCCUCCUUCCCAGCUUGUUUCUCCUCCUAUGGAGACCCUUGGCCUGGGGCAUCUUGUAUGAUGUGACCACCAGAGGGCAGGCUGGAGCGCAUGAUGCUUUGCACACAGAGCUCAAUAGAGGUGGUUGUGUUCGGUUGUUGAGUGGCGCUGGGGAACUGCGUUUCUUCCUCCUGAGCUCGAAUGCGGCUAAGCCACUGUGCGUGCAGCAAGCACUGGCUCCUCUUUUGCUGUAACUGAUUGCAGCCCCUGCUGAAAUGAGAAUCCCUUGUUAGUACAUAGUUUUGCAUUAUUCACGUUGCAAAUAACUAAAAUCUCAAGUCAAAUGUAAACA